CUCUGGCGGGCAGUUGAUUGAAUGCACCCUGAGACUCGGCACUUUGGUGCCUUGUUUUUUUCCCUUCUCUUUGGACAAAGAAAACGAACACGCAAGGACGAUUGAAGGUUCCAUGAUCUAUUGAACAUUGACAUUAUAUUACGUCCUUAACGGAAUACAUCCGCAAAUCCUUCACACGGCUUCACUUUUGCCACAUUUUGUGCUUCCAACGAUGUGGCUGUCGCUCCGUUCGAAUUCCCUUCAGCAGCAUCUACCCAGCAAAGAUAAACGACACUGGGAUCACCUGGACUGCAGUCUUCUCUUCAUCUUGGAUCUCUGGGCCAGCAGAGACAGCGCAGAAUGAACAAAGCUAUGUGUUCCUGCCCCAGAUUGAAAGAGGAAGUAUGGAAUUGUCGUCUGAUUGGUCCAUGGUCCACUGACGUCAUCGUCGCUGUGCAGAAUGAUGGCCGUCACAUGCACCUGCUGGGGAGCUGAAGUAUACAAAACCAUUUUGUCAUGCAAUUUACAGAAAAAUGGUUCCAAACGAAUCGGGAGAAGCUUCGUCAUGCAGCAAGACAAUGACCCAAAAUUGCCAGCACAACAAAGGACAUUCGUCAGGGGGGAACAGUGGAAGUCACCCUCUCCCUCAGUUCUGGGGACCGGGGUUCAAAAUUUGCUUUCUUUGUGGAAAAAGAGAGGAAAAAAUCAAGACACCGGAGGGCUGAGUCUCAGCCUGCAUUCACUCAACUGAACACCAGAGUGCAAGUCCACUCGACGAGACACCUCGUUUAUUGAGCCUGAAUCAGGACGUUUCGAUAUGACUGUUUGGCAGAAGGUAUCUCUGCUUAUCACAAAAUGGGGGAGUCAUAUUAAAACCACCAUUCCUCAGUCAUCUAAACUCCUACAUAAUUUCAUGGCUAACAAAACUUCAUCAUGUAUCACCCUAGUGUUUUGGAAACGGAACUUAAUUGUUAGAUAGUGGAACAUAGCUUCAUGAGGAUGAAAUAAAACAAUCCAACACAUCUCAUUACACUGUGUUUGUGGCUACUCCCCCCCCCGGCAGUUGUGUUAACAUUUCAUGGAAAGUAGUUGUUGCCAUGUUUGUUUCGUGAACGCGUUAAAUAAAGCACAUACUAUUUAAGGGGGUGGGGGCAUUUGCCGUACUCAGUAUUUUGAGUCGUUCUGAGUUAUUUCCUGGAAUACAGACGAAAAAGCGCUCCAGUCCGGUUGGUGGCGGUAAUGCGCAUGUGCAGUGGUUGUCAAACACGAUUUAACACGAAGAAGAAGACGACGAAGACGAAGAAGAAACGCCAGCAGCAGCUCUAAGCUAGCAUCGUGCGAAAUGUCAGCUGACAGUCAAUGAGUCUUCUUUUUGUUGUUUUUUUAUGCACCUGGAUGCUUGUGUAAGAUUCUCCUGGAAGUGACACGCUCAGGAUGUUGGCACUCAGGUGCAUUUCGGGAGAUCUGCGUGGACAUCUGCGGCCGCCGAGGACGUCGCGGGAGGUUCCGCGUGAACUUUUGGCCCGACCUCCUCCGCCGACUCCCGCCCGCCUCUUGUCCCGGGGCGAGCCAUCGCCGGCCAAGUUGAAGCUGAGGACGCGCGUGGCCGUGACACUGCUGCUGGGCGGCGGGCUGCUGGCGUCGUGGGCGCGGCUCGGCGCCGAGAAGCGGCAGAAGGAGCGGCGGGUGCGCGCCGAGCAGCUGCGCCGGGCGGCGUUGGGUCGGGGCGACUUCAGCCUGGUGGACCACCACGGGCGCCGCCGCAGCAAGCGAGACUUCCUGGGCCGCUGGGUCCUCCUCUACUUCGGCUUCACGCGCUGUCCCGACAUCUGCCCCGACGAGCUGGACAAGAUGAGCGCGGCCGUGACCGACCUGGACCUGGACGCGUCCCUGCCGCCCGUGCAGCCGCUUUUCAUCACCGUCGACCCCGAGCGCGACCACGUGGAUGCGCUGGCCCUCUACGUCAAAGACUUCCAUCCUCGCCUGGUGGGCCUGACCGGCACGGCGGAGGAGGUGAAGGAGGCGGGCCGCGACUACCGCGUGUACGCCAGCCGCGGCCCCCCGGAUGAGGACGGCGACUACCUGGUGGACCACUCCGUCCUCAUCUACCUCGUCAGCCCGCAAGGACUCUUCGUGGACUACUACAACCGCCUCAAGGACAAGGAGCACAUCGUGCGCAGCGUGCGCCGGCACAUGGGCGAACACGACGAACUGCAGCGCUCGUGAUGUCGGUGUGACCAAAGGUGGAACAGCUGCGGCGAAGGAAGAGCAGGGAGGUUUUUGAACCUGUCGGCAGCUCGGACCCUGCUGAGGAGCGUCAAGCCCAUCGAGUCCACGCUCUCCUCCAGACCCGGCGCGCUGUCGAUGGCCACCGUGCCGUCGUUGGCCUGAAACACGCGCACGCGAGAGCCCGUCAUGUCGCGGCGCUCCGACGGCACCGUGAUGUCACCGUGACGUCCGACUCACUCACCAGCUGCAAAGACGCCAGCAGCAACUUGCAGACUUCAACGUUGUCCUCGCCGCGCACCACGGACGCAAAGUCACGGCGCCGGCCCACGGCGACCAACGCAGACACGAUCUUGUCGCCGUACUCGCUGAUGUCGAACGGCGGGCGCCGCUCCUGCGAUGGCAAACGGCCGUCAGGCGCGACGCGACGCACGGAAGCGCCGGUCCGGGCGGUUACCUCCACGAGAAGCUUUGGGCGGAUGCGGUCCUCCCACUCUUGCACGCGGCGAGACAACGCCAUCUCCUGCGUAUAUUCGCGGCACCUCUGCACCAUCUCCUCCUACGCACGCACUCACCGAUUACACCUUUGGCGGUCACGUGAGCUGUGAUGUCAUCACCUACCACGUGCAGCUUCACCAGGUCCUCGUAACUCAGAUGCUCGGCUUCUGCAAACGAACGUUUAAAAUUCGUUAUCUAUCGAUCGAUCGAUCGAUUCGUCCGUCCGUCGAUCCAUCGUCUUCGCUCACCCGGAGACGUGCCGCCAUCUCCCGCCUCGAACGUUUCCUGCUCCCGGUUGCCGUCAUCUGCAUCCACACACGCGCGCUUAAUCCGUGUGUGCAUUUGUGUGUAUGUGCGCGUAUUACCCAGACGGUCACGCUCCCCGAGUCCGUCCGUCCGCUCCCGGGGCCUUUCCUGUUCCUCUGGCUCCAGAAGGCUCCUCACCAAGUCUUCGUCCGAAACCUCUUUGUGAACUCCAAAUUGUUUGUUGUUCAUUCUCUUCAGGUUUCCCAGCUUGCUUUUGAGGCUACUCCGAUAAAUGUAGUUGAGGUCUGCGCCCACGCAAAGUCAUCAUUUCUUCGGACGGCCUGGAGCCUAAGCUAACAUGUUAGCACAAGAGACGUACCGACGCAGACGGGUCCUUUUCUGAGCUUGCGUUCAGCAGGAUCAUCUGCGAGAAGGAGAAGGAGGAGGCGUUGACGUGCGGGGGAGGCAAAAGAUGGCAGCGGAAGCUUCCAGAAGGUGCGCGAGUCUGACAUGUUUCUUUGAACCAGGUCCUGAAGUCCUCCCGCUGGGGCCGCGCGGCCGCCCGCUUCCUCUUGCCGUUGUCGUCCAGACCGCCGGGAACCUUGUAGGGCUUUCCUGCACCGGCGAGAGGACAAGUCCGGUCGACCGCCGACCAGACCGCGUGACCCCCGCCCUCCUACCUGACUCAAAAGGAGGAAUCAGAGAGACUGGAGGGAGGGGGGCCACGUCCACCAGCUGCAACACGACGACGACAACGACAACACAAACUUUGACUGACGGGCGACACAAGCCAACUGGGAGGUGCGCCGUUGGGUGUGCGUCUGUGUCCAUUUGUUUCUAGGCGCAAGUGUGUGUGCGUUUGAGAAGGUCUCACCACGUUGGAUUCGGGCCUGUCCACCCACUCGGCUGUUUCUAUGUCCACUUCGCAAAACUGCAGCAACAACAAAAAGAACAAGUAAGAAGAGUCGAGCAGUCGACGACCACGUGGCACCUCCCGUUUCUAACCGAAUCGUCGUCGUCGUCAGGGUGCGCCGCCGCUCUGCCCGCGUUGUCGCCCGGCGCCGCUUGUUUGCUUUGCCUGUCGGGAGGAAGGCGGUGGGAAUAAGUCAGAGGAAGUUUCAAAAGUGGACGUGAAGCGUUGCUCACUUCUUGUUGCGGUCUCGUAUGUAGUCCAGCGUUUGGUAGACCAGGUUGUGCAGCAUCUCCACCUGCAGACACAUCACCGUCAUCCUCAUCAUCACCGUUGAAAAUUGUUGUGCGAACUGAAUGAGUUACGUUCACCUCAACACAACCACAGACGCUUUGUAAUUAUUUGGAUUUGAUUACAUUCACUUUUCCACUGGGAACAAUGUACAUGUUGAGAUUAAAAGUUACAACAUAUUCAAGUUAAGGAAAUGUUCGCUGGGGGUUUGGUUUGAGCUGUCAUUUGUGUGGUGCGAUAUAUACUUUUUCUCUCCCUUUACUGGUCGUUUGUACUUUCUCUUGAGGUCAUCAACCUCAUUCGAGAAAACAAAAGGUCGAAGUUGACAAUGGAGCCCGGUGGCGUGCAGGCGGAUCGUCAUGUUCCAUUUUACCUUCUUGCUGUAUAUGCAAGCAGAACCUUGGAUGAGCAACGCCGCCUCGGCAAACGAUCGCACCUCCUCCAGGUAGUCGUUGAGCUCGGCCGCCAAGUCGAUGUCCCAGUUCUUGGAGAGCUCCCGGAUGGGCUGCUGCAAGUGAGCGAAUCGGCUCGCUGUGGACUCCAUGGCCGCAGUACACAGCGGGACCGCCAGGUGACG
Molecule: RNA transcript, 4727 nt
Organism: Phycodurus eques (leafy seadragon)
Lineage: Eukaryota; Metazoa; Chordata; Actinopteri; Syngnathiformes; Syngnathidae
Gene: sco2
Gene name: protein SCO2 homolog, mitochondrial
Exons: 8
Source: RefSeq, a predicted model, not a curated record